RNAcentral lists this ribosomal RNA (253 nucleotides) under uncultured bacterium. RNAcentral describes it as "partial 16S ribosomal RNA". It matches the Rfam family "Bacterial small subunit ribosomal RNA", at positions 524 to 776 of the family's 1533-position model. The record is from RNAcentral.
UACGAAGGGGGCUAGCGUUGCUCGGAAUCACUGGGCGUAAAGCGCACGUAGGCGGCUUUCUAAGUCGGUGGUGAAAUCCUGGAGCUCAACUCCAGAACUGCCUUUGAUACUGGCGAUCUCGAGUCCGGGAGAGGUGAGUGGAACUGCGAGUGUAGAGGUGAAAUUCGUAGAUAUUCGCAAGAACACCAGUGGCGAAGGCGGCUCACUGGCCCGGUACUGACGCUGAGGUGCGAAAGCGUGGGGAGCAAACAGG